RNAcentral lists this transfer RNA (72 nucleotides) under Camelus bactrianus (Bactrian camel). It matches the Rfam family "tRNA". From Rfam's summary of the family: Transfer RNA (tRNA) molecules are approximately 80 nucleotides in length. Their secondary structure includes four short double-helical elements and three loops (D, anti-codon, and T loops). Further hydrogen bonds mediate the characteristic L-shaped molecular structure. tRNAs have two regions of fundamental functional importance: the anti-codon, which is responsible for specific mRNA codon recognition, and the 3' end, to which the tRNAs corresponding amino acid is attached (by aminoacyl-tRNA synthetases). tRNAs cope with the degeneracy of the genetic code in two manners: having more than one tRNA (with a specific anti-codon) for a particular amino acid; and 'wobble' base-pairing, i.e. permitting non-standard base-pairing at the 3rd anti-codon position. The record is from Rfam by way of RNAcentral. RNAcentral also lists the same sequence under 1 other name. Lineage: Eukaryota; Metazoa; Chordata; Mammalia; Artiodactyla; Camelidae.
AAGGAUAUGUUUCAGUGGUAGGGCGCAUGCCUAGCAUACAUGAGGUCCUGGGUUCAAUCCCCAGUAUCCCCA